This 576-nucleotide ribosomal RNA is filed under the name uncultured bacterium. RNAcentral describes it as "bacterial SSU rRNA". It matches the Rfam family "Bacterial small subunit ribosomal RNA", at positions 341 to 916 of the family's 1533-position model. The record is from RNAcentral.
ACGGGAGGCAGCAGUGAGGAAUAUUGGACAAUGGGUGAGAGCCUGAUCCAGCCAUCCCGCGUGAAGGACGACGGUUCUAUGGAUUGUAAACUUCUUUUGUACAGGGAUAAACCUACCCUCGUGAGGGUAGCUGAAGGUACUGUACGAAUAAGCACCGGCUAACUCCGUGCCAGCAGCCGCGGUAAUACGGAGGGUGCAAGCGUUAUCCGGAUUUAUUGGGUUUAAAGGGUCCGUAGGCGGGCUUAUAAGUCAGUGGUGAAAGCCGGCAGCUUAACUGUCGAACUGCCAUUGAUACUGUAAGUCUUGAGUGUAUUUGAAGUGGCUGGAAUAAGUAGUGUAGCGGUGAAAUGCAUAGAUAUUACUUAGAACACCAAUUGCGAAGGCAGGUCACUAAGAUACAACUGACGCUGAUGGACGAAAGCGUGGGGAGCGAACAGGAUUAGAUACCCUGUUAGUCCACGCUGUAAACGAUGCUAACUAGUUUUUGGGUUUUUAAGACUCAGAGACCAAGCGAAAGUGAUAAGUUAGCCACCUGGGGAGUACGUUCGCAAGAAUGAAACUCAAAGGAAUUGACGG